RNAcentral lists this ribosomal RNA (468 nucleotides) under uncultured bacterium. RNAcentral describes it as "partial 16S ribosomal RNA". It matches the Rfam family "Bacterial small subunit ribosomal RNA", at positions 28 to 507 of the family's 1533-position model. The record is from RNAcentral.
GACGAACGCUGGCGGCGUGCUUAACACAUGCAAGUCGAACGGAAAGGCCCUGCUUUUGUGGGGUGCUCGAGUGGCGAACGGGUGAGUAACACGUGAGUAACCUGCCCUUGACUUUGUGAUAACUUCAGGAAACUGGGGCUAAUACCGGAUAGGAGCUCCUGCUGCAUGGUGGGGGUUGGAAAGUUUCGGCGGUUGGGGAUGGACUCGCGGCUUAUCAGCUUGUUGGUGUGGUAGUGGCUUACCAAGGCUUUGACGGGUAGCCGGCCUGUGAGGGUGACCGGCCAAAUUGGGACUGAGAUACGGCCCAGACUCCUACGGGAGGCAGCAGUGGGGAAUAUUGCACAAUGGGCGGAAGCGUGAUGCAGCAACGCAGCGUGCGGGAUGACGGCAUUCGGGUUGUAAACCGCUUUCGCCUGUGACGAAGCGUGAGUGACGGUAAUGGGUAAAGAAGCACCGGCUAACUACGUG